This 403-nucleotide ribosomal RNA is filed under the name uncultured bacterium. Its description in RNAcentral is "bacterial SSU rRNA". It matches the Rfam family "Bacterial small subunit ribosomal RNA", at positions 357 to 777 of the family's 1533-position model. The record is from RNAcentral.
GGGAAUAUUGCACAAUGGGGGAAACCCUGAUGCAGCGACGCCGCGUGAAGGAAGAAGUAUUUCGGUAUGUAAACUUCUAUCAGCAGGGAAGAAAAUGACGGUACCUGACUAAGAAGCCCCGGCUAACUACGUGCCAGCAGCCGCGGUAAUACGUAGGGGGCAAGCGUUAUCCGGAUUUACUGGGUGUAAAGGGAGCGUAGGCGGUUUAGCAAGUCAGAAGUGAAAGCCCGGGGCUCAACUCCGGGACUGCUUUUGAAACUGUUGAACUAGAUUGCAGGAGAGGUAAGUGGAAUUCCUAGUGUAGCGGUGAAAUGCGUAGAUAUUAGGAGGAACACCAGUGGCGAAGGCGGCUUACUGGACUGUAAAUGACGCUGAGGCUCGAAAGCGUGGGGAGCAAACAGGA